Molecule: ribosomal RNA, 375 nt
Filed under: uncultured bacterium
Lineage: Bacteria
Description: bacterial SSU rRNA
Rfam family: Bacterial small subunit ribosomal RNA
Source: RNAcentral
GACGAACGCUGGCGGCGUGCUUAACACAUGCAAGUCGAGCGGUAAGGCCCUUUCGGGGGUACACGAGCGGCGAACGGGUGAGUAACACGUGGGUGACCUGCCCUCAGCUCUGGGAUAAGCCUGGGAAACCGGGUCUAAUACUGGAUAUGACUCCAUGACGCAUGUUGUGGGGUGGAAAGCCUUGUGCGGCUGAGGAUGGGCCCGCGGCCUAUCAGCUUGUUGGUGGGGUGANGGCCUACCAAGGCGACGACGGGUAGCCGGCCUGAGAGGGCGACCGGCCACACUGGGACUGAGACACGGCCCAGACUCCUACGGGAGGCAGCAGUGGGGAAUCUUACGCAAUGGGCGAAAGCCUGACGCAGCGACGCCGCGUGA